Molecule: ribosomal RNA, 618 nt
Filed under: Triticum aestivum (bread wheat)
Lineage: Eukaryota; Viridiplantae; Streptophyta; Magnoliopsida; Poales; Poaceae
Description: partial small subunit ribosomal RNA
Source: RNAcentral
AUGACUGGUCUAUCAUGGAAGCUAAGCUAUGGAUUUCAGUUGGAGGAGGAAGGCCGAUGGAAUGGACUUUUUCAUACUCGUGUUGUGGUACAAGAGAGAUCAUGUUCUAUGACAAUCGACCACAUGAGUUUGAUAAACGCGGCAAGCAUCGAGAUGGUGGAGAAGUUGGAACUACCGAUGACACCACGACCACAACCAUACUUGUUCCGUUGGGGUCAUGAAGAGCUCAGUGUAACACAUCAAACCAAGGUGCCGUUUUUUUUGGGAAAAUAUUAUUGCACGGUUUUGUGUGACGUGAUUCCGACACUGAUGGUUUCAUGUCACUUAUCGUUGGGUAAGCCAUGGUACAAAGAGCACGAUGUUGCCUACGAUUCUCAAACACACAUAUAUACUGUUAAGAAGGGUAAGAACUACGACCUUGUGCCCAUGGGCCAGGAUCGUUUUAUUUCUUGGAGGAAAGAACAUCUUGAGAAGGUAAAAGAGGAGGAAAAAGCAAAGAAAAGGGAGGCCAAAGUUGCUGAAAUUUUUACGGUCGUUGUUCAGUCUACAAAUAAAAAUAUUGUUGAAAAGAUCGACCCGAAACCGAGGACGGUUUUCGUUUCAAGGGAGAGAGGAUGA